RNAcentral lists this ribosomal RNA (511 nucleotides) under Escherichia coli. Its description in RNAcentral is "partial 23S ribosomal RNA". It matches the Rfam family "Bacterial large subunit ribosomal RNA", at positions 998 to 1512 of the family's 2925-position model. Lineage: Bacteria; Pseudomonadati; Pseudomonadota; Gammaproteobacteria; Enterobacterales; Enterobacteriaceae. The record is from RNAcentral. RNAcentral also lists the same sequence under 1 other name.
CUAACGUCCGUCGUGAAGAGGGAAACAACCCAGACCGCCAGCUAAGGUCCCAAAGUCAUGGUUAAGUGGGAAACGAUGUGGGAAGGCCCAGACAGCCAGGAUGUUGGCUUAGAAGCAGCCAUCAUUUAAAGAAAGCGUAAUAGCUCACUGGUCGAGUCGGCCUGCGCGGAAGAUGUAACGGGGCUAAACCAUGCACCGAAGCUGCGGCAGCGACGCUUAUGCGUUGUUGGGUAGGGGAGCGUUCUGUAAGCCUGUGAAGGUGUGCUGUGAGGUAUGCUGGAGGUAUCAGAAGUGCGAAUGCUGACAUAAGUAACGAUAAAGCGGGUGAAAAGCCCGCUCGCCGGAAGACCAAGGGUUCCUGUCCAACGUUAAUCGGGGCAGGGUGAGUCGACCCCUAAGGCGAGGCCGAAAGGCGUAGUCGAUGGGAAACAGGUUAAUAUUCCUGUACUUGGUGUUACUGCGAAGGGGGGACGGAGAAGGCUAUGUUGGCCGGGCGACGGUUGUCCCGGUU